GGUCUGUAGCUCAGUUGGUUAGAGCGCACCCCUGAUAAGGGUGAGGUCGGCCGUUCAAAUCGGCCCAGACCCACCAGAACAAGCCCGCCGCUUUCCAAGGAAGGCGGCGGGUCGGUUCCAUC
RNAcentral lists this transfer RNA (122 nucleotides) under uncultured Gammaproteobacteria bacterium. RNAcentral describes it as "tRNA-Ile". The stretch from base 1 to 73 matches the Rfam family "tRNA". From Rfam's summary of the family: Transfer RNA (tRNA) molecules are approximately 80 nucleotides in length. Their secondary structure includes four short double-helical elements and three loops (D, anti-codon, and T loops). Lineage: Bacteria; Pseudomonadati; Pseudomonadota; Gammaproteobacteria. The record is from RNAcentral.